GCAGUAUUGAGUCUAGUUUGAGAGUCUACUCUCAGAUUGGUAAAUCGUGAAAGAACAUAUGAGGCUGACAGCGACAGAUCAUUCUAGCUAGCUACAGGGAUUCUCCUGCAUCAGGUUAAAUAACAGAGCUAUGGAUGAGCAAUACAUGGGAAAGCUACUGGUCGGAUUUUUAAGUUGUGAUGACAACUGCUGCAAAUGAGGCUAGCCAUCCCUUUUAAAGAAACAUAGCCUAGUCGAAUUGAGAAGCUUUCAUCUGUUGAAGGGUUCUAAGUUGGCAAAUGCAAAAAGCUUGAGUGGUAAUCCUUCCACCAAUCCACCAGAAGGCUUGAGUGGAUAUAGGAUGCGUAUCUUUUGAUUUAUAGGGAAGAUGAUGUCACAAGGGGAGCUGCCCCAACACUGAGUGAUGCAAGAGCUAUGAGAUUUUCUACUUUGAUCAUAUUCUAAUUGGAUGCUAAGUUGUCACAAUCUGCUUAAAUUCUAAGAAAACUGAAGUCUACACUGAGUGUGUUAAUGAUUUA
This is a long non-coding RNA of Coffea eugenioides, 518 nucleotides long. RefSeq lists it as uncharacterized. Lineage: Eukaryota; Viridiplantae; Streptophyta; Magnoliopsida; Gentianales; Rubiaceae. The transcript has 3 exons. The record is from RefSeq and is a predicted model, not a curated record.